This 261-nucleotide ribosomal RNA is filed under the name uncultured bacterium. RNAcentral's name for it is "partial 16S ribosomal RNA". It matches the Rfam family "Bacterial small subunit ribosomal RNA", at positions 334 to 591 of the family's 1533-position model. The record is from RNAcentral.
CAGCCCCUACGGGGCGCAGCAGUGAGGAAUAUUGGUCAAUGGGCGGGAGCCUGAACCAGCCACGUCGCGUGAAGGAAGAAGGUACUUAGUAUUGUAAACUUCUUUUGUCGGGGAACAAAGGCGGAGACGCGUCUCCGGAUGAGUGUACCCGAAGAAAAAGCAUCGGCUAACUCCGUGCCAGCAGCCGCGGUAAUACGGAGGAUGCGAGCGUUAUCCGGAUUUAUUGGGUUUAAAGGGUGCGCAGGCGGGGGAUCAAGUCAG